Molecule: long non-coding RNA, 3548 nt
Filed under: Homo sapiens (human)
Lineage: Eukaryota; Metazoa; Chordata; Mammalia; Primates; Hominidae
Description: non-protein coding NUTM2B-AS1:38
Source: RNAcentral
UUCAGAUUGUUUCUGUUAUCUCUGCAUUUUAAAGUAGCAAAAUACUAAGCCAUUAGGUUAUUGAACCUGUAAUAUUCCCACAGGGGUUUUAUGUCUACCCCAUGGGAUUCAAUUAAUUUUCCUGGACCCUGGUUAGACUGUUUCCUUUCCCUCUUAGGCAUUUGGCCCCCAAAGUUAGGUAGGUAAAAGUGUCAUUUUUAAAGAUUUUACCUGUCAGGGAAUUUCCUGGUUGGUGCUCCUGGAAAGCAUGCAGCUGGCCGGCGGGAGUCUGACAUUCUCAGUCAGUGGGGAGAGAAGACAUGUGUCUCCCAAAGCCAAGAGGUAGCCAGGUGGAGGACAGCAGGACUUUCUAGGGGGUCCAAGGGGAAAGUUCUGAGUGGACCCUGGGAAGGGACAUGGGUGCCCCAUCUGAGAUGACCUGUGUCCUUCCAAUGCCUGGUAUCCCCAAGAGGGGCCCAGACAUGGACCGCCCUGGGGAACGAGGAUGUGGUGCUGCCUGGAGGAGCUAACACUGAGGUUUGGGGAAGUCACCACACAGCUCCCAGAACCCAGAAUCUCUGACAAGCAACCAUGUGUGGAGAGGGAAUGGGGACAGUGGAAGGACACAGCUCAAAUGAAGACACUGCGGACAUGUUUCCAUGGCUUUCUACAUUCUUCAUCAUCAUCGAGUGUUCUCCUCUACACAGUGAGCACAACAUUUUACCCACGUGCCUGAUGGACAGGCCAAGCUGAAUGGAAGCCUUCUGAGGCACUGGAGCAGAAGGGAAAACUUGCACAUGGUCGCAAAGGACUUCACACUGUUCCAUCCCCUCUACUGCCAUCCAAGAGGCCUCUUGACUCUUCCAGAAUCAGAUGUAAAAGACAAGGGCAGUGGCACUGCUCGUCGUUGCUGGGGAUACAUUCGCAGUGCCACACCUCCUCCACCUUCUCCACGGGGUAGACGGCUUCCACCUAGUGGCAGAUGAGCCGCAGCUGCGUAGGGUCCAGCUGCUUCUUGUUGCAAGCCCGAAAAUUGUUGUACUGCAGCUGGAGGUUCUCGGCGGUGGAGGAGCCCCGCGGCAAAGUUGCCCACGGAGAGGCUCUGCUGCACGAUCUUGCACACCUCCUUGUCGGACAGCAGGUAGGGAGAGCGCACCGGGAAGCUCAGUGAGGGACCACCACCUCAUCCAAGGGGAUCUUGCAGAAGUCCUUGCUGCUCCUCUCGGGGGCAGCGGGGGACCCUCAGACUCCUCUCUGAACCUCUCAGGAUUGAUUGCAUAGCUCCUCAUGUCUUUACACUCGGGGCCAGCACGUGGACCUUGCACUGCUGCUGGUAGGAGCGCCUCUGUUCCUGUUCCAGUGCAGGUUGCCCAUGAACUCAAGGGUCCAGACGCGAUUGUUUUUGGUGCAGAGGUAGAGCAGGUGCACUUAGUGGCGAAUGAGCUUGAUGCAGGACGGGUCCAGCUGCUUCUUGCCCAGGGAGUCGCUGCAGCUGUGCUGCUUGUGCAGGUUGUCAUGGGUGAAGAGCUUGGGGAAUAGGGGCACCAGCAGGCGCGAGGUGAAGUUGCCGAUGGACAGGCUGCUCUCGUAGAUACUGUGAAGAUGCUCGUUGCUGAGCAGGCCGUCGGCGCCGGGCACCUCCAAGUUGGGCUGGGGAUCUCCAAUUUGACCAAGUCGAUAGGUACCAGUCAGAUCUUCUUGGAGCGGCACCGCUCGCCCUUGAAGCUAUCCUCCACCCUGAUUACUGAGAUGUCAUCGGGCAGGCUGGAGGAGUUGUAGCAGUUGUCGCGUGGGGGGCUCGCCUUCGCUGCCUGCGUCCAGCCCCAGGCCCUGAAGCUUGUCGUUGAUGCACUGGGCGCACCGCUGCAGCCAGGCCUCCUCCUCCUGCAUGUGGGGGAAGUAGACCUCCGUGAAGUUGCAGAUGAUCUGCAGCCUCUGCGGGUCCAGGUCCUGCUUGCCGCCAGGCCUCCUCCUCCUGCAUGUGGGGGAAGUAGACCUCCGUGAAGUUGCAGAUGAUCUGCAGCCUCUGCGGGUCCAGCUCCUGCUUGCCGCCGUCCCCGUAGCAGCUGUCCUGCUCGCCCAGCUUGCGGUAGUGGAAGAGCUCAGGGAAGAGCCAGUGGAGGAGGAAGACGGCAAACUCGCCUGUGAAGAGGCUUCAUGCAGGAACUAAGUGAGGGCCUACAUGUCCACCACGUGGUCUGAGGCGAUGGUGCUGCUCCAGUCCAGAGACAGGCCCUCCUCCUCGUCUUUGUGGUCCAGGAAGUGGCCGGGGUCCACUGCUCAGCCUCAAGCUGGCAGCCUGGCCACCGGGCUGGCUGUUCUCCAUCUCCCGCUGGGCCCAGAAGUGGCUGAAGAACUUAUUCAGCUGGGGCAAGCACUCGGCCUGUCACACAGCCCUCUCCUUCACCGAGGGGUAGUAGACCUCCAUGUAGUUGUGGAUGAGCUGCAGGUGCAGUGACUCCAGCUUAAGCUUGGCCUCAAAGCUGCAGGCACUGCAGCCUCGGGAGAAGUUGACUGUGGCUGAAGAGCUUGGGGAAGAGCUGCACCAGCGGGCAGCAGGCCAGGACCCCGCCUGACAGGCUCUGGUCCAAGAUCUGCUUAAGCUCCAUGCCCGUGAGCUGCUACGGGGUGGUGGGGGUCGGCUGGAAUUUGGCCACCAUCUCAGUGGGGUUCACCUUCAGGGAGAGCAGGUCCACUUUGCUGUGUAGCUGGGACCUGUUGGACGUGAGGGUGUUGAGCAUGUAGAACAUCUCCUGGAUCAGGAAGUAGAUGUUAGGGUCACUGUUGGUGGCUGCCCCAGUGCUGCCACAGUCCCACUUCUAUGGCUCAUUCAGGAGCCUAAGCAGCGAGGGGCUGUUGCUGGAAUUUGCCUUCUGGAAGAGCUCAUACGUGUUUAGCAGGUCCCCCGAGGGAGGGUUCUUCUUCUCCAUGACCUUGUGGGAGAUGCCAUACAGAGGCUUCUUGUAGUAAGGGGUGGUGGCAUGGUUGCGGGGCUCCUCCUUGCCUGGCCACACAGAGCCCGAGCUCCUGCCUUGCCGGCCUGCUCUCCAUUGCCUUGGCAGGGCGAGCUGUUCUCGGGUUCCACAUGCCUGCUAGGAGCGCCUCUGGGAUCAGCUACCUCCUCUCCACGCUGGGGAUGGAGUCUGGCUGGCCAUUGCUGACCAGCUGAGUCCUGGAGGGCAGUAAAGACGCUGUCCAGAAGGUGCUUCUCAGAAGUCCUGGAAUUCACGGAGCAGCCUAGAGCAGCAUCUUUGGCCUCUGUCUCCACUCUCACUUCUUAGAAGUUCUUCUACAUCAAUUUUUUUUGGAGAUGGUUCUGACUCUGUCACCCAGGCUGGAGUGCAGCAGUUGCUCAGAGCUCACUGCAUCCUUGACCUCCCAGACUCAAAAGAGCCUAGCUACUUAGGAGUAGCUAGGACUACAGGCCACGGCCACCAUGCCUGGCUAAUCUUUUAAAUUUUUUGUAGAGGCAGAGGUCUCUCAUUGUGUUGCCCAGACAAGUCUCAAAUUCUCGGGCUCAAGUGUUCCUCCCAAAGUGCUGGGAUUAAUGGCGUGAGCCACUGUACCUG